Molecule: ribosomal RNA, 604 nt
Filed under: uncultured Actinobacteridae bacterium
Lineage: Bacteria; Bacillati; Actinomycetota; Actinomycetes
Description: bacterial SSU rRNA
Rfam family: Bacterial small subunit ribosomal RNA
Source: RNAcentral
GUGGGGUAGUGGCCUACCAAGGCGACGACGGGUAGCCGGCCUGAGAGGGUGACCGGCCACACUGGGACUGAGACACGGCCCAGACUCCUACGGGAGGCAGCAGUGGGGAAUAUUGCGCAAUGGGCGAAAGCCUGACGCAGCGACGCCGCGUGGGGGAUGACGGCCUUCGGGUUGUAAACCUCUUUCAGCAGGGACGAAGCGAAAGUGACGGUACCUGCAGAAGAAGCACCGGCCAACUACGUGCCAGCAGCCGCGGUAAUACGUAGGGUGCAAGCGUUGUCCGGAAUUAUUGGGCGUAAAGAGCUCGUAGGCGGUUUGUUGCGUCGGCUGUGAAAACCUGAGGCUCAACCUCAGGCCUGCAGUCGAUACGAGCAGACUAGAGUGUUGCAGGGGAGACUGGAAUUCCUGGUGUAGCGGUGAAAUGCGCAGAUACCAGGAGGAACACCGAUGGCGAAGGCAGGUCUCUGGGCAUUAACUGACGCUGAGGAGCGAAAGCAUGGGGAGCGAACAGGAUUAGAUACCCUGGUAGUCCAUGCCGUAAACGUUGGGCACUAGGUGUGGGGGACAUUCCACGUUUUCCGCGCCGUAGCUAACGCAUUAAGUG